AACCGGGGCUAAUACCGGAUAACAUUUUGAACCGCAUGGUUCGAAAUUGAAAGGCGGCUUCGGCUGUCACUUAUGGAUGGACCCGCGUCGCAUUAGCUAGUUGGUGAGGUAACGGCUCACCAAGGCAACGAUGCGUAGCCGACCUGAGAGGGUGCUCGGCCACACUGGCACUGAGACACGGCCCAGACUCAUACGGGAGGCAGCAGUAGGGAAUCUUCCGCAAUGGACGAAAGUCUGACGGAGCAACGCCGCGUGAGUGAUGAAGGCUUUCGGGUCGUAAAACUCUGUUGUUAGGGAAGAACAAGUGCUAGUUGAAUAAGCUGGCACCUUGACGGUACCUAACCAGAAAGCCACGGCUAACUACGUGCCAGCAGCCGCGGUAAUACGUAGGUGGCAAGCGUUAUCCGGAAUUAUUGGGCGUAAAGCGCGCGCAGGUGGUUUCUUAAGUCUGAUGUGAAAGCCCACGGCUCAACCGUGGAGGGUCAUUGCAAACUGAGAGACUUGAGUGCAGAAGAGGAAAGUGGAAUUCCAUGUGUAGCGGUGAAAUGCGUAGAG
RNAcentral lists this ribosomal RNA (555 nucleotides) under Bacillus cereus. RNAcentral's name for it is "bacterial SSU rRNA". It matches the Rfam family "Bacterial small subunit ribosomal RNA", at positions 155 to 695 of the family's 1533-position model. The record is from RNAcentral. Lineage: Bacteria; Bacillati; Bacillota; Bacilli; Caryophanales; Bacillaceae.